AUUUAAGCCUGUAUUGAGAACAAUCAAUUUUAUGCAUUCAAAACAUAGGGCCAUCUUAGAUUAUAGAAAUUAUGAUUUUCAUCAGUAUAAGAAAGUAUGUAAAAGUGGCUAUCUUACCAAGUACUUUUCUGAUAUAUUGUAGUUAAUUCAUCAAAUACAUCUUCUUAGAUUAUCUCACUGACAUUUGUCACAUGUGGAUGAUUUUUAAAGACACUGUAGGAUUUGGACCUAUAAAGCUAAUGGCUUUAGUGAAAAAAGGACAGAGAUAAAGUUGUAUUUACUUUUGUCUUAAUGCCUUUAAUCUUAUGAAUUGAAAAUUCAAAGGAAAAGAACAAGUAGAAAGUCACUUGGUCAACAUUUGUUUUCCUUGAUUUAAUUUUACUGUUUCCUUGGAAACUUAUUUUGCAAAUAUUACCAUAAUAAUAAUACCACAAUAUUAUCAUUGAAAAGGUUACCAAUUCUUUUUUUUUAAAUUCCCAUUCAUUUUUCAAAGUUGACUGCUAGUGGACUCGGUAUUUGUGUGUGUGUGUGUUUUCACUUAAAAUGGCUGUCUCAUUAUUUAAAAUUUAUAACUAUUUUUGAGUGUACAAACUGAUUAGCUAUUUAUAAUACUAUUACAGUACAGCAUUGUAAUUUGAGAAAGAAAACAAGUUAGGAUUUAGGUGGGAUUG
Molecule: long non-coding RNA, 671 nt
Filed under: Bos taurus (domestic cattle)
Lineage: Eukaryota; Metazoa; Chordata; Mammalia; Artiodactyla; Bovidae
Description: long non-coding RNA NONBTAT011485
Source: RNAcentral